This 83-nucleotide non-coding RNA is filed under the name uncultured Clostridium sp. RNAcentral describes it as "TPP riboswitch (THI element)". The stretch from base 1 to 73 matches the Rfam family "TPP riboswitch aptamer (THI element)", at positions 10 to 89 of the family's 105-position model. From Rfam's summary of the family: Vitamin B(1) in its active form thiamin pyrophosphate (TPP) is an essential coenzyme that is synthesised by coupling of pyrimidine and thiazole moieties in bacteria. The previously detected thiamin-regulatory element, thi box was extended, resulting in a new, highly conserved RNA secondary structure, the THI element, which is widely distributed in eubacteria and also occurs in some archaea. The record is from RNAcentral. Lineage: Bacteria; Bacillati; Bacillota; Clostridia; Eubacteriales; Clostridiaceae.
CAGGGGUGCCUUAUGGCUGAGAUGUAUUAUACAAUCCCUUAUGACCUGAACUAGGUAAUGCUAGCGUAGGGAGUCUAUGAAAA